GUUGGGCACUCUAAGGUGACUGCCGGUGACAAACCGGAGGAAGGUGGGGAUGACGUCAAAUCAUCAUGCCCCUUAUGACCUGGGCUACACACGUGCUACAAUGGACGGUACAAAGAGCUGCAAGACCGCGAGGUGGAGCUAAUCUCAUAAAACCGUUCUCAGUUCGGAUUGUAGGCUGCAACUCGCCUACAUGAAGCUGGAAUCGCUAGUAAUCGCGGAUCAGCAUGCCGCGGUGAAUACGUUCCCGGGCCUUGUACACACCGCCCGUCACACCAUGGGAGUGGGUUGCAAAAGAAGUAGGUAGCUUAACCUUCGGGAGGGCGCUUACCACUUUGUGAUUCAUGACUGGGGUGAAGUCGUAACA
This 364-nucleotide non-coding RNA is filed under the name Bacillus gaemokensis. RNAcentral's name for it is "bacterial SSU rRNA". It matches the Rfam family "Bacterial small subunit ribosomal RNA", at positions 1130 to 1493 of the family's 1533-position model. Lineage: Bacteria; Bacillati; Bacillota; Bacilli; Caryophanales; Bacillaceae. The record is from RNAcentral.